This 29-nucleotide non-coding RNA is filed under the name Mus musculus (house mouse). The record is from RNAcentral. Lineage: Eukaryota; Metazoa; Chordata; Mammalia; Rodentia; Muridae.
UAAUAUUGAGGAGCUAGCAUGGAUGUGGU